UACGGGGGGGGCAAGCGUUGUUCGGAAUUACUGGGCGUAAAGGGCUCGUAGGCGGCCAACUAAGUCAUACGUGAAAUCCCUCGGCUUAACCGGGGAACUGCGUCCGAUACUGGAUGGCUUGAGUUCGGGAGAGGGAUGCGGAAUUCCAGGUGUAGCGGUGAAAUGCGUAGAUAUCUGGAGGAACACCGGUGGCGAAGGCGGCAUCCUGGACCGACACUGACGCUGAGGAGCGAAAGCCAGGGGAGCAAACGGG
This 253-nucleotide ribosomal RNA is filed under the name uncultured bacterium. RNAcentral describes it as "partial 16S ribosomal RNA". It matches the Rfam family "Bacterial small subunit ribosomal RNA", at positions 524 to 776 of the family's 1533-position model. The record is from RNAcentral.